RNAcentral lists this unclassified non-coding RNA (261 nucleotides) under plant metagenome. RNAcentral describes it as "partial contains small subunit ribosomal RNA, internal transcribed spacer 1, and 5.8S ribosomal RNA". The record is from RNAcentral.
UUUCCGUAGGUGAACCUGCGGAAGGAUCAUUAUCCAUCUCAAACCAGGUGCGGUCCCGGCCCCCGGGGGCUUGCUCCCGGGUGGUAGGGGUAACACCCUCACGCGCCGCCUGCCUGUACCCUCUUUUUACGAGCACCUUUCGUUCUCCUUCGGCGGGGCAACCUGCCGCUGGAACCAAAACAAAACCUUUUUUGCAUCUAGCAUUACCUGUUCUGAUACAAAUAAUCGUUAAAACUUUCAACAAUGGAUCUCUUGGCUCUG